AAAUUGAAGAGUUUGAUCAUGGCUCAGAUUGAACGCUGGCGGCAGGCCUAACACAUGCAAGUCGAACGGUAACAGGAAGUAGCUUGCUGCUUCGCUGACGAGUGGCGGACGGGUGAGUAAUGUCUGGGAAACUGCCUGAUGGAGGGGGAUAACUACUGGAAACGGUGGCUAAUACCGCAUAACGUCGCAAGACCAAAGAGGGGGACCUUCGGGCCUCUUGCCAUCAGAUGUGCCCAGAUGGGAUUAGCUUGUUGGUGAGGUAACGGCUCACCAAGGCGACGAUCCCUAGCUGGUCUGAGAGGAUGACCAGCCACACUGGAACUGAGACACGGUCCAGACUCCUACGGGAGGCAGCAGUGGGGAAUAUUGCACAAUGGGCGCAAGCCUGAUGCAGCCAUGCCGCGUGUAUGAAGAAGGCCUUCGGGUUGUAAAGUACUUUCAGCGGGGAGGAAGGUGUUGUGGUUAAUAACC
This 471-nucleotide ribosomal RNA is filed under the name Salmonella enterica. RNAcentral describes it as "bacterial SSU rRNA". It matches the Rfam family "Bacterial small subunit ribosomal RNA", at positions 1 to 468 of the family's 1533-position model. The record is from RNAcentral. Lineage: Bacteria; Pseudomonadati; Pseudomonadota; Gammaproteobacteria; Enterobacterales; Enterobacteriaceae.